RNAcentral lists this ribosomal RNA (448 nucleotides) under uncultured bacterium. Its description in RNAcentral is "bacterial SSU rRNA". It matches the Rfam family "Bacterial small subunit ribosomal RNA", at positions 330 to 792 of the family's 1533-position model. The record is from RNAcentral.
GCCAGACUCCUACGGGAGGCAGCAGUGGGGAAUAUUGCACAAUGGGGGAAACCCUGAUGCAGCGACGCCGCGUGAGCGAUGAAGUAUUUCGGUAUGUAAAGCUCUAUCAGCAGGGACGAAGCAAGUGACGGUACCUGAGGAAUAAGCCACGGCUAACUACGUGCCAGCAGCCGCGGUAAUACGUAGGUGGCAAGCGUUAUCCGGAUUUACUGGGUGUAAAGGGCGUGUAGGCGGGAAAGCAAGUCAGAUGUGAAAACCAUGGGCUCAACCUGUGGCCUGCAUUUGAAACUGUUUUUCUUGAGUACUGGAGAGGCAGACGGAAUUCCUAGUGUAGCGGUGAAAUGCGUAGAUAUUAGGAGGAACACCAGUGGCGAAGGCGGUCUGCUGGACAGCAACUGACGCUGAGGCGCGAAAGCGUGGGGAGCAAACAGGAUUAGAUCCCCGAGUA